GAUGGUGCAGUUGGUAGCACUGUUGCCUUGCAGCCAGAAGGUUCUGGGUUCAAUUCCCUGGCCA
Molecule: non-coding RNA, 64 nt
Organism: Characodon lateralis
Lineage: Eukaryota; Metazoa; Chordata; Actinopteri; Cyprinodontiformes; Goodeidae
Source: the annotation of a GenBank genome assembly